RNAcentral lists this long non-coding RNA (469 nucleotides) under Homo sapiens (human). Its description in RNAcentral is "HSALNT0204458". The record is from RNAcentral. Lineage: Eukaryota; Metazoa; Chordata; Mammalia; Primates; Hominidae.
GGAAGAAAAAAAGCCAAAGGAGAUAACACUUAGGUGAUGUAAUAGAGCAUAUAGAAUUUAUUCAAUUACAAGGCAAUUCCACUUAAGCCUGCGGAGGAGAACAUAGUUCAAUUGUUUUCAAAUCACCACAAAGUAAAUUUUAAUAUUAAAGGUUGAAUCUCUUUGCUUUGCACCUUAAUGUAUGCAAAUCAGUCUAAUUUCUAUAUUAAUUUGCUCUAAAGGUAAAACUAAACUGAGUCUCAGUAGGAGGAUAUUUGUAUUUCGUAAUGGAGAGAAUGAAGAGUCACAAUAAAUGGGAAUUAAAAUGUAAGUUCAAAGUAAGUUACAGAAUCUCCUUUCAAAAGGUCACAUUUCUGGCAGGUCAGUGGAAGAAUUAGUUGUUUGCUAUUACUGAUAAAAAUAUAUAGACAUAUAUAUGUCUAUUCUAUAACUACUAUCCAGUGGUUAUUCAUCAUUACUGGAAUUUUUU